UUGUUUUGUUAUGAUAUAUGAUGUUCAUUACACCAUGUUUGUAAAAUAGCCCCGAAGGGCACGGUUCACAGAGGUUUGGAAUAGUUAUAAGCCCGUGAGGGCGUUCACUAAUGAUCCUUCCGCAGGUUCACCUACGGAAA
This 140-nucleotide unclassified non-coding RNA is filed under the name uncultured fungus. RNAcentral's name for it is "sequence contains ITS1, 5.8S rRNA gene". Lineage: Eukaryota; Fungi. The record is from RNAcentral.